GGCGGAGCGGGGGAUGGGGGGGCGUGGAAGACAGGGCUGCGUGCUCCGGCGCGGGCGGCGCGCGUUCGGGGUGUCGGCUCCCGGCAGCUCUUGGCUUGUCGGUCGUUGGGACCACGCUGCCCGCUCCCCCCGCCACCUCUCACGGUCGUAAUGAAGUCUAAGGCCCGUGGCUUCCCCACAUCAUCCCCUGGGAGGUGGACUCAGGCUGUCCCAGGAGAAAUUGCGGAUGGAGGAAGAGGAUUUCCGAGAGAGAUCCCGGGUCCCAGUAACAGUCAUUGUCCUUAUCACCUGGACUAUGGUCUUGAAAUACCAUGUCCCACUAAAAGAAACAAGGGCUUCUUGGAUGGAUGAUUCUAGAUCUGGGACAGGAAAUGCAUAGAAUGAACAUGAUGUAUCUUGUCAUACUAGAGAGCAGAGGAGCUAUUAAAGUCUUCUAGGGUCAUGUCCAGGGGACCUAGAAGCCAACUUCAAGUGGCUCCCUUUGGCCAAAGAUGAGAACACCUAUUGAAAUGAAACAAAGGAAUACAUUUAUAAACCUACAAGGUGGAUGUAGUUUUGCAAGAUAGAAGGUCACUGACUUAAGGAGGAGAGGCUUGGAACUGGAGGUGUAAGGUACUCUGCAUAGUGGAAAUGAAGCACAGUGCUGACAGGAAGAUUAAAUAAAAGUCUUUAUCAGUGACUCCUCAUUCCCAAUUUUCCCCUCAGCCCAGUUUUUUGAAAUUCCCAUCAGCUAAACCUAUGUCUCCCAAGAUAUUGGAGUAUUCUUUUGAGAAAUUAGAUGGUCCCAGAGAAAGCCUCUAUGUUGCCAUUCACGGGUCCAAGAACAAAAAGUUUGGUUUGCCAACUUCUUAUCACUUUACCCCGAAACCUACCGGUAGAUAGAAAUAAGAGUAGAAGUUUAGGGAAAGAGCUUUCCGAAACAAAAGUAAAAUCUAUUAAUAUGUUAGAGUUGUGGAGAAUAAAAUUGAUGAACAUUUGACAAUUAAAAAAAUCCAGUUGGAUAGGUAUAAAACCAAACAUUUUAAAAAAGAAAGGCCAUCUUUAAUACCAGGAAAAGCAAGCCUUUCCUUGCUACCCAGAACGAGGUCCAUGUGGUGUUGUUCUGAGUUCCUGUCCUAGCUUAAAAACUUUUACAAUGUUUGGAGCCCUUGCUGUCCUACAAAAGAAGGAGAUGUCCUCAAAUUCCUUGUGGCAGUACAACUUGGGUGGCACCAACCUUGACUUCCAAGUGGAACAGUACAUCUACAGAAGGAAAAGUGAUAGCUACAUCAUAAAUCUGAAGAGAACAAGACUGAAGCUUCUGCUGGCAGCUCCGGCCAUGGUUUCCAUUGACAACCCGGCUGAUGUCAUGUCCAUCCUCUAGGAAUCCUGGCCAGCGAGCUGGGUUGAAGUGUGCUGCUAUCACGGGAGCCACUCCUGUCGCUGGCCGCUUCACUCCUGGGACCCUCACCAGCUAGAUCUGGGUCACUUUCUGGGAGUCACUCCUUCUGGCGGAUACUGAUCCCAGGGCUGACCACCAGCCUUUCAGAGAAACGUCUUCCGAUAACCUGUCUACAUUGCUCCAUGAAACAGACUCGUCUCUGCGCUGUGUGGACAUUGUCAUCCCUUGCACCAACAAGGAGCUCCCUCAGCGGGUCUGAUGUGGUUGCUGGCUCUGGAAGUUCCGUGCAUACACGGAACAUAUCCUGUGAACUCUCAUGGGAGAUCAUGCCUCAUCUCUACUUCUACAGAGAUCCUGAAGAGAUUGAGAAGAGCUUGAAAAUCACACUGCGGCCAGGGAGGAAUUCCAGCAUAAGUGGACUGCUGCAGGUCCCAAGUUUACUGCCACUCCACUGGAGGUCAGAGGCCGGUCUGCAGGUGAGCAGGGGCCCUCUGUGCCUACCCAACUGUUCCCUCUGGAACCCUUGAGCACUCAGCCUGCCGGGCAAGACUGGUCUGCGGCUCCCACUGUCCACACUACCAAAGGGGUAGGAAUGGCCACUGAGUAGUCUAAGGCUGUUCUACAGACUUUUAAGCAGGAAAUGGAAAUAAGGGUGAUGGAAAUGAACAGUUAAAAAAAAUACCAGGAAAAAAAAGGCUCCCCCCCCCCGCAAACCAAAGCUUCAAGAAAGGAAAGGAAACAUAGUCAUAAUUGCAACUUGGCUCAUCACUGAAUAAUAUUUACAAGAGUCAUAGUAAUAUCAAUACUAUUGUUUUAGCCAAAAUUGUGACGUAUUGCUUUGAGAGGAUGGGAAAUAGAGGAGGUAGGGGAAGGCAUAAGAUAGCUGAAUGCUGAUCUCCUAUAUGAAGGAGUCAACAGACACCUAAGUGACAUGACCUCUAAAGCUGAGAUAAAAAGAAAUUGAAGUAAACAUAUUAUUUAGAAAUACGGAAGCAAAUAUCAGAUGACACAGCUGAAAGAAUUGAAAGUGCUCAGGGUCACCUUCAUGGAAAUUAAAUGAAGGCUCCCCUUUUUCAAGACACAUAAACCUGUUAGGAAGUUAAUGUAAUAUUCUGAUUUUGUAAAAGCAAAAACAAAAAACACUGCUACCAGCAAGAAAAGAAACAAUAUCUGUGUUGUGAAUACACCUGCUAGGUGAUGCAGUGCACACCCUACACUCCAUUGAGCUUGCUUCCAGGGAGCAGGAUGGGGUGCCCAGAGUGGGGAAAGGUGGGGCAGAGUGUUGCCAUUUUUCUUCUACUGUUUGAUUUAAAAUAACAAAAAAACAAAAAACUAUUACUCUGAUGGCAAGGAAGGAAAGAAGGAAGGAUGGAAGAGAAAAGCAAAAAGAAAGAGGGUGGGGGACUGACUUCAUGGCUGAAUAGAGGAGGUUCAGAUAAUGUCCCCAGGAUCUGGCUCUGUGUCAGCAAUGCAAGCUCUGCUGUUAGAAUAAAAAAAAAAAAAAAAAAAAAAAAAGGCUCCAGCCUUCACAUGCCAUAUUUCUAGUCUUGAGCAGGUGCACACUUUCUAUGGGUGAAAAGUUGUGUGCUAAUAAAAGAUGUGUGCGCAUCAGUUAAGGGCCAGGAGAGUCAGUGAAAGAAGACAACAAUAGUGGGAAAGAACUUUUAUAGAAUCAAAUAGGAGUAGAAGGUUAAAAAGAAAAUGUUUAAAAUAUAGCAGAAAAGUCAAGGAAAACAGAGAUGGAGAAAAGAGCAGAGAAUUGAAGAGGACAUCGCUGACUUUGAAAGAACCGUACCAUGGAACAGUGGAAGCCGAAGCAAUCUAUUGCAAUAAUUUACAAAGUCUGGUUCCUGGACCAGAAAUAGCAGCAUUACCUGGGAACAUGCUAGAAAUGCAAAUUCUUGGGUCACACAUUAGACCUUCGGCGUCAGAGACUCUGGACCUGAGGGUCUACCAAUCUGUAUUUUAAUAAGACUUCCAAAUGAUUCUGAAGGAUGCUAAAGUUUGUUGGCAGUGUAUAAUCGCUAGGUGAUUGAUACUGGAAAAGACUAUCUCCUUUCCCCGUACAGAACAUGUAUUUGGAAAGCUCAGCAAAAUCUGCAAUAGCUGGAGGCAUAGAGUUGUGUACAUUGAGUGUUCCGGGGGCCAUUUUAUUUCUUCUGUAGUUGGUAUGAAAUGUUUUGGAUUUCAGAAUCAGACUAGAAAAUUUUACUUUAAACACAUUUGAUAUUUUUAGUUGAUGUAAGUAAUAAGAUUGCAGAAAGCUGGCUUUAUCUUUAUCUGAUCCUUCCUCUGGCCUCUGAAGUUUGGGAGGAGAGCUGGUGUUUGGGUGUGUGUGUGGCAAGAACACUUGACAUGAGAUCUAUUCUCUUACCAGAAUUUUUUAAAAUAAUUUUAUUUAUUUAUUUGACACAGAGAGACGGUGAGAGAGGGAACACAAGCAGGGAGAGCGGGAG
Long non-coding RNA from Zalophus californianus (California sea lion), 3837 nucleotides. RefSeq lists it as uncharacterized. NCBI's taxonomy places the organism in Eukaryota, Metazoa, Chordata, Mammalia, Carnivora, Otariidae. The transcript has 3 exons. The record is from RefSeq and is a predicted model, not a curated record.